CUUGCAGGAGAUGUUGCUGUUGGACUAGGUGUAAACCGCUUUUUUUUUUCAACCGUACUGGAAAAAUUGAAGUUGGGUUUUUCUAUAAACUUUGGAAACUCCAUUGUUACACGACUUUUCGAAGGAGAACCUGGCCACUGGGUCCCAUCAGCCUCUCACUUUCUUGUUGAAAGUGACAUGUUCUUAGUGGCUGGCAGAAUGAUAGGCCACGCUUUCCUUCAUGGAGGACCACGCCUGUCAGGACUUAGUCCUGCUGUUAUUCAUGUUCUAUUUGGCGGCAGUCCAGAAACAGCAACUGUCACCCUGGAGGACUGCCCAGACCUAGACAUCAGGGAAACCAUCAGUCCUCUCGAAGGAGAAUCCAGGCUCUCUGAUACUCAAAUGGAAAGAGUACAGAGCUUGGCAUAUUCAUGGGACCUUCCUUGUCCCACAGAGAACAA
Long non-coding RNA from Xiphophorus hellerii (green swordtail), 440 nucleotides. RefSeq lists it as uncharacterized. The record is from RefSeq and is a predicted model, not a curated record. Lineage: Eukaryota; Metazoa; Chordata; Actinopteri; Cyprinodontiformes; Poeciliidae. The transcript has 3 exons.